UACACCAUCUCCUACAUCUUCUCACUCUGAUUUCACGAGUCACGACGACGACCCUCAUCUUACGCCUUUUCUCUUCAAACAACAGAAAAAUCUGAAAUCAACAAUUUCAUCUACUUCGAUUGUGACUCACGUUGCUUAGUUUCACUGCUUAUAUAGUGAUUCAUGAUCCACAAUUUCAUCUCGCUUCAACUCGUGAGUCAGAGUCACGAUCCACAAUGUCGUCUUCUUCGUGAGUCACGAUUCUCAGUUUCCCCUAAGAACACGUUUCCUCCUCUUUCUACAUGCUUCGAAUCUUUUAAUCGUCGAACCCUAAUCCCAAAUCUCGAAUCUGGCAUUAAACUUACAAUCGAAACAGAACGUGACCUAGAUGAACCCUAAUUUGGUUUUUCAGCUUCCAAUCGAAGCUAAUAGGAUCAAAAAAGUGUUACAAAAAGGAUGAAGAAUGUUGCAGCAAAAGGAAUUGCUUGAUUAAUGAAGCUACAGAGAUCUAUAAAUUGAAGUAUAAAUUUAAGGAGGAGGCAAAGAAGAUUGAAUAUUGAAGCAGCAAUGAAAACCAAGACAAAUGAGGUUCGGCUUAUGUGCUGUGUAGAGGCUUAUUAUAUGAUGUGAAUUAUUUUGAUUCAAGGAGAAUUUACAUAUGGUGUGUGAUGCUGCAAGAUGUUUUAUGCAGGUUCCAGGGUGAAAAUGGUCUUCAGUGGCACAACCUGAAUCACCGUUGAGAUUGAGAGAGAGUUGCAUAAACUUUAGUAGAGCCAGAGGAAUAGCUAAGAGUUGCUUCACUAUAUGAUGAGGAGAGGGGUCAACAUAAACGUUGGUAGAACUGGAAGAAUAUACAAAAGCUGAUACUACUUAAUGAAAGAGGGAGGAUCAACCCCUUUGCGGCACUUUCAUUUUAGAAGAACUGGUUUUGCAUUGGAGAAAUACGAUGAAAAGAAAUUACGAUCAAAGAGAGGUUGGAAUUGAUAAUGAUCAUUUAAAGAAAGUAACAUAAGGCAUGUUGUAGGUGAUUCUUCAUAUGAUUAAGUAGCCAAGAUUGUGGGGGUAUUGAAAGGAAAUUUACUAUUUUACAGUUUGCUCAAUUUUAGUUGUAUUUAUAGUUUUGAGAAAAUAUUGUUUUAGUUUGUAUUAAAAAGUCAUGGGAGCAUUAACCAUGACUUUAGGUGUUUUAUAGUUUUUUAUUUGAAUAAGUCUUCAGGUGUUUUAUAGUAGCAGUACAUGUUUGCUACU
Trifolium pratense (red clover) is the source of this 1227-nucleotide long non-coding RNA. RefSeq lists it as uncharacterized. The transcript has 5 exons. NCBI's taxonomy places the organism in Eukaryota, Viridiplantae, Streptophyta, Magnoliopsida, Fabales, Fabaceae. The record is from RefSeq and is a predicted model, not a curated record.